RNAcentral lists this long non-coding RNA (420 nucleotides) under Nicotiana tabacum (common tobacco). RNAcentral's name for it is "long non-coding RNA (NTAB_LNC016815)". The record is from RNAcentral. Lineage: Eukaryota; Viridiplantae; Streptophyta; Magnoliopsida; Solanales; Solanaceae.
UAAUUUUUAGGCUGUCCUCUCCAGUGCUAAUCCCUAUCACUGCCCCCACUCUCUCUCUCUCAACACAAUUUUGGUUUUGCUAUUUUCUCCUAACGUUUUUCUUUGCAGACGCUCCAUACCUAACCCUAAUCCCCCAAGGAGCUCAACCAUCUUUAAAGAUCCAAAAAGGUAAUCGGUACUUUCUUCAAGAAGAAUGAUUUUUUUUUUUUAAUUUUAUCUUAAUUUUUUUGCGUACUGAAUUGAAAUUUCCUCCUGCUUUUGUGGGUUAGAUCUGUGCGUUUCAGGUAGAGCAGUAGGGAAUAAUGGGAGACACAAAGGAGAACGAUGCUUACGAGGAGGAGCUUCUCGACUACGAAGAAGAUGACGAAAAAGCCCCUGAUUCCAUCUCCGCUAAAGUUAAUGGCGAGUCCGCCAAGAAGU